GUAAGGAAUAUUGCGCAAUGGACGAAAGUCUGACGCAGCGACGCCGCGUGGGGGAUGAAGGUCUUCGGAUUGUAAACCCCUUUCGGGAGGGAAGAUGGAGUGGGUAACCACUUGGACGGUACCUCCAGAAGCAGCCACGGCUAACUUCGUGCCAGCAGCCGCGGUAAUACGAAGGUGGCAAGCGUUGUUCGGAUUCACUGGGCGUACAGGGAGCGUAGGCGGUUGGGUAAGCCCUCCGUGAAAUCUCCGGGCCUAACCCGGAAAGUGCAGAGGGGACUGCUCAGCUAGAGGAUGGGAGAGGAGCGCGGAAUUCCCGGUGUAGCGGUGAAAUGCGUAGAGAUCGGGAGGAAGGCCGGUGGCGAAGGCGGCGCUCUGGAACAUUUCUGACGCUGAGGCUCGAAAGCGUGGGGAGCAAACAGGAUUAGAUACCCUAGUAGUCC
This 440-nucleotide ribosomal RNA is filed under the name uncultured Nitrospira sp. RNAcentral describes it as "bacterial SSU rRNA". It matches the Rfam family "Bacterial small subunit ribosomal RNA", at positions 354 to 796 of the family's 1533-position model. Lineage: Bacteria; Pseudomonadati; Nitrospirota; Nitrospiria; Nitrospirales; Nitrospiraceae. The record is from RNAcentral.